This 4548-nucleotide long non-coding RNA is filed under the name Homo sapiens (human). RNAcentral describes it as "HSALNT0135929". Lineage: Eukaryota; Metazoa; Chordata; Mammalia; Primates; Hominidae. The record is from RNAcentral.
GAGAGACUGCUAUGUGUUAGGUGGUGGAGACACAGUCAGGAUGGGAAGGCUGUUGCCCAGCCUGAGCUAUGAAUGUUGAUUAUUUAUUUAUUUAUUUAUUUAUUUAUUUAUUUUAGAAAUAAGAACCAAAUGACAGCCUCCUGAUCCUCUCCAGAAAGGUGCCCAAGGUGAGAUCUGGAUAUCCAGGGAUUCAUCCAGGGACGUGAAGAUGAGCCCAGCAAAGGGUUACCGGCCACCCACCAUUGACGCCAGGCACUCUCCUAGAAAUCGGCUGCACAGCAAUGAGCACAUCUGCCAUGGUCUAUGCGUUCACAGAGAAAAGUCUGGAAGCUUUGUCCUGUGCCUCACACUAGCGACACUCCUAGAGCAGACCUCCAGCUCCCAUGUCACGCAUGACUAGGGUCUCAACAGUGCAUCACAAUUUCAUUUUACUCCCUGCAUCUCAAUUCUCCCUGAAUCCUCUUGCACUCAGACUCCUCUGAGCUCAGUUUGCUGUGUAUGUCCCCCUGUGACCCACUAGACCUGAGGCUCUGCCCCACUUCCCUGGGCCGCCCUGACCAGCAGCUGAUGGCAAACAUGCAGCAUGGACCAGACCCACCCAGCCUUGCACCCCAUAAGAAGUGCUUUUUGAUGUUAGCUGCAGCAGGACCCACACCCCAUCCACGUGGGGCUGGCUAAUGAAGAAAGGUUAUCAAAUAGCCAGGACCUACCCACACCCCCGGAGGGACUGAGGUGUUAAUAUCACUGACCAGUUGUAUUCAUUCGAUCAUUCAUUCAUCAGCAACAAAUAUUUGUUGAUGAUGACUAUGAGCACUGUUCUAGGUGCUUAUUCAUCUCUGAGUAAAAUAGACAAAGAUCUCUGCCUUGCAGAGUUUCAACCUAGCGAAAAGAGAAAGGAAACAAUAGACAUAAUAAAUACACACAAGCAUGAGAAAACAGUGAUAAGAACUAUUGAAAAAAAGAAAAGGUAAUGCAGGAUAAGGAGCAUAGGGGGCGCUAUGAAUGGGGUGGUCAGGGCAGAGCUGAUGAAAAGGAAUUGAACACACAUCUUAAGAAGGUGAGGGGGAGUCCAAGAAGGUACCUGGAGAAGAAUGUUCCAGGCAGAGGGAGCAAGAGGAGCAGAGGCCCUCAGCCUGUUUGCAGAGGAGCGGCCGGGCCAGUGUGGUGGAGUGAGCAGGGGAGGGAAGGCAGGAGUAAGAAUAACCAAGAGUCAGAUUUCCAUGUAAGACCCAGUAAGCUAUUGCUCAUAUUCCAUUCUUUUACCCUGGGGCCAUCAGAGCCAUCAGGUUUUGACUUGUGAAGUGAUAUGACAUAAAAGCCGUUGCCCUAUAGGGCACAAGGGUCAAUAAUGAUGGUGGCCUGGGCCAGGCGGGUAGCAGUGGAGAUGCUGAGAAAUUGAUUAGCAUCUGACUUAUUUUGAAGGUACAGCCAGUAGAAUUCCCUAAUAGAUUGAUAGCUUAAAGAAAGGGAGGAGUCAAUGUUAACAUUCAGACUUUUGGCCUGUAAAAUUAAAUAAUUCAAACUUAAAGUGGUUGGAACUUAUUUUGAGCCUUGAGAGGAAUGUGGCUAUGUGGCCUGGGCCCCACAGCGUGAAGUUGCAACUUCUGCUUUUUCCCGUAAAAGAUUAGAGAAGGUCUUGUGGCACCAGAGAUAAGACCCCCUCAGAUCAUCACCCCUCCUCACAGAAUGUUAAAGCAUUCCUUGGAAUGUAGCAAGCUGUAACCAAUCAAAUUGCUAUGACAUUGUACUGACCUUGCCCGGGAGAUAUUGCAACCCUUUUCAAUCUCUCUGUCUCCGCCUGUGUAAGUGAAACCAUAACUUCACUCUGGAAUGCUGACCCAUUUUCUUGGAGUCUGUGUUUCGCAUAUGGCUAUCCUUAAGAUUGGCACUCUAAUAAACUAUAUAGUUCAUCCUAUUUUCUGAAUCUCAUUAUUUAAGAUUGACAGGCCAGAGCAACUGUAAGGAUGGAGUUACCAUAAAGAGAGAUGGGAAAGGCAGCCAGUGGCACAAGUUUGAAGUGGGAAGACGACAGUGAAGCUUUGUUCACGUAGAGUUUGCCACAUUUGUGGGCUACCAAACGAAAACGUGAGAAAGCAAUGGAGAUAUGAGUGUGGGGUCUAACAAAGGGGCGUGAGGCCUGGAGAAGGAGGUUGGGAGUCAUUGAUGUAGAGACUAUCAUUAAAGCCACUCUACACGUAAGAUCACUCAAUAAUAGGUGAGCGUAUUGGAGAAGAGGAGAGGUCUACAAGCUGCACCUCAGGGAGGAACUAGCAAAGGAGCCCUUGAGGGAGAGAGGAGUGAGGUAAGAGGAGCAGCCAGCGAGUGUGCUGUCCUGGAAAGAGAAAAAAGUGCAUCCUGGAGGAGGAGGCCAUCAGCUGGGUCAAGUGCUGCUGACAGGUGCUGGAAAUUGAGAACUGAGAAUUGACCACCGGAUUUAACUAUGUAGAGGUCACUGGUGACAUGAAGAGCCAUUUCAGCAGAACUGUGGAGGCGUGUCAGCCUGACUGGAGAGGGUUCCAGUGGGAGGAAAGAAGUUUUGUUGCAAAUACAAGCAAAGAUUUGGAGGGAAAUCUAGUAGAAGUGGGAUCAACACACAUUUGUUUUUAUUGUCUUUUUUUAUCUUUUUAUUUUAUUUCUUAAUUUUUUAUGGUUUUUUUGUCAAUCUUGCUCCUUCUCUACUUUUUUUUAAAAAGUGAGAAAAAUAACAGCAUGUUUGUUUGCCAAUUGAAAUAAUCUGGGGUAAUCGUUCAUGAGGGGGAGAGAGGGGAGCAUUUCUGGGGCCCUGAGCAGGGUUCCUCACUACAUGGGCGUGCACAGGAGUGGGGACAGCUCCUCCAUGGUGACAGGCUGGAGGCCGCGAGGGACAGAUGUGGUGGCCAGCAGAGUCUUUGGAAGUUUCCUUCCAGCUGCUUCAAUUUUCCCAUUGAAAUAGGAUGUGAGAGGAGUUUGGCUGUGUGAGGAGAGAGGAAAAUUUUCUUAGACAUGUAGAAAACAAGGAAAGUGACUCAAUCAGGAAAAUAUAGCAGGAUUGCCUGGAGAUGGUGAGGUCCAUUGAAGUUCAGAGGUUGUGAUUGUCGAAUGGGACCAGUUCUCACGAUGUGUCUUUUUUUCCCACCUUGAGAAAAGGGUAGGAGCUCUCCACUGCUUGGGGUGGGGGCACCUGAGGCUGGAUUUCCUGAGACUCCCUGGGCCUUCGGGUGUCAAAAUUUUCAUUGCUACUGCCAGGCAUUUUAGGGGCCAAAAAUAAAAACCAACUGAUGCUGUCACAUUGGACCUGCCUAGCUUCUGAAUCCCUGUUACUCAUUCUCUUGGGUUGAGGAUUUGAAAGCAACAGGCUUGGAAUUCAAGGAGCUACGUUUGCAUCCCUAGGCACAGCACUGUGAGAAAAGGGGCCCUCUAUUAGCAUUACUCCACAGAAAUGGCUUCUGAGGAAAGCCCGUGGAAGCAAUAUUUGGCAGGGCUCCUCGAUCCAUACUUCAGCCGGGAGUAACUGGCUCAUGCCCAGCCAGGAGCCCAAAUCCCCAACUCCUGCGGCUGUGCCUCUCUGUUAGUGCAGAGUGGCUGGUUUCCCUGCCUUUACUGUUGGCUUCCAGGCAGAUUUCCUCCCAGCUGUCUCCUCCCCUAUUUGUGUAAUUGACAUGAGUCAUUUGGGUGAUUUCUGCCUUUAAUCUGAGAGGGCCUCUGUGGUCAUCUGUGUUGCACAGCUCAAAAAUUCCAGGAACAGAACCUCUCCUGUUAGAUUUCUGUUAGUGCACAGUGGGUUGUGAUCAGGUGAGCGGGUGCCAGGGACCAUGACAAUGGCAUGAGGGGGACAGGCAGCAGUUGUGAGGGAACUCUGUCAUCUUCAUUGUACACCUGUUUAUCUGCAAGCUCAUUGCCUUCGUGUGAGGUUUCAAAUCACUAUCAUGACUGCAAAUUGACUUAAGAAUUUAAAACAUAAAACACAAAGAGUGAGAAAAGUGCUCACCAAAAUAUUGUUUUAAUGGUAAUUAUAAGAGUUUUCUGAUGUGUGACGUGUUUCGUUGCCUUUUCUAAUGUCUUUUUGGCUGGAAGUAAAGAAAGGCUCAGAAGCAGAGACUCCCAGCAUCUCCUUAAUUUUCUAUCUCCUCUGAAAUAUGACUCCUCUGUAUUUUUGUUUAGGAAGCAUUUCUAGGAACAAUUUUCAGCAAUUAGGAAGGAAGCAACCCGCAGAGCCCUGGCGUCAGGACUCAGGGAAAAUAUCCUGAGGUCUGGAUGAGAGCAGGCACCUGCAACUGUGUGAGCUGGGCAGCGCUCGCUGACACAGAAUCUAUCCAGACCCUGUUCCUGAACCUCACUUUACAAACACAAAGGAAUGAUAGAAAAGCCAUUCCCAGUUUUCCGAAUUACUGAAAACAAGGCAAUAUCGAAAUAUUAACUACAAACAGUGAAGAAAACAAUUGUAUGGAAGGCUUUCUGCCUGUAUCUACCUACAUUCAAAAGUUGUUUCUUUCACCUCUCCCUGCCACAUCCUCCCCGGAGUUCUAACGUUAUUAUUAUGGCUGGUCCAUGGUAACGAGCUAUUAAAAG